RNAcentral lists this long non-coding RNA (2413 nucleotides) under Lynx pardinus (Iberian lynx). The record is from RNAcentral. Lineage: Eukaryota; Metazoa; Chordata; Mammalia; Carnivora; Felidae.
CGAAAAUCCAGAAGAGAGAGAGAGGAUCUGCACCCAGAAAUCCACUGGAGUACUUCUCAGCUGCAGAAGCCCCGCCUCCCCAGACAAGGUUGCUGGCUGGGUUAGGUGCCUUCGCACAUUCGGGCUCUUCCUCCAAAGUAAGUUGUUUGAAGGAUUAGCUUCAUUUCAAAAAAAAAAAAAAAAGCACGAACCCCGUACUAAGUGCCCGGCACUCUGGCCCAUCCGUGUCUGCCCAGCGCCUGCACAUUGUAGGUGCUCACCUUUCCUUCUCUGCACCACUUGGCAGCUUACAACUCUCUUCUUAAAUGCUUUUUCACCUGGCUGAUAGCCCUGCUCUCUCUGUUCUGCUCCUGCCUCACUGACUGCUCCUACUUGGUCUCUGGCUAGUUCCUUUUCAUUCUGCCGACUUCUCUACCGUGGGAAUGUCCCAGAGCUUGGUCCUCUGUCUGGCUCUUCAUCUACGUUCACUUCCUAGGCGGUCUCCUUCCGUCUGAGCUUUAAAUGUCCAUAGGCUAACGACUCCUAAAUUUGUGUCUCCAGCCUAUGCCUGCCUCUCUGCUGAUCUCUAGUCGUAGGUCCACCACCAACUCAACAUGGCCACAGGGUGUCUCAUAAGCACCUCGGAAGACAGGAGCAAAAUCAGACUCCCGACCUCUCCCGUAUCUGCUCCUCGAGCCAACUCCCCGCUUCUGAAAUCCUUUAGAGUCCUUAAUUCCAGUCUUUCUCUCACACCCUGUAUCCAAUCCACUGACAAAUCCCCUCAGCUCUACCUCCACCAUACUUCCAGAAUACACCUUUUCCUCUGCACUGCCAAGUGUCCAAGCCACCGAAAGCCAUUGCCUGAUUUACUGCAGUAGCCUCCUGCCUCCUGGCCUCCUCUUGCCCUGCUCCCCUGGGUCCACACAGAGCAGCCAGUGCCCUCUGUAAAGGCCAGUCUGAUACCUCUCCUCCAAACCACCCAAUGGCUCCUCACCUCGUUCAGGAGUCACAGCCUUUAAAAUGGCCUGCGAGGCCCUCUGUGAUAUGCCCCUGCCCCAUGCUUCUGUGACCUUGCCUGCCUCAAGCCUCCUUGUCAUCUUUGCUGUUCGUCAGGAAUGCCCUUCCCCCAAAUAUCCACGAGGCUCACUCCCUCACUUUCUUCAGGUCUCAGCUCAAGUGUCACCCACCUCAUCACAGGAGCUUCUCUGACCGCCCAAAUAAAAGAACAACCCUGCCCCCUCCCCAAGCCCUUAUGAUCUCGGAAUCCUCCUCUCUCCACUGAGGGCAAGGGUGUAGUUCUGCUUACUGUUCAAUUCCCAGCAUUUAGUAUCACGUGCCUGAUGCUGUAGGCACUCUAGGAAUAUUUGCUGAAUAAAUGGGAUCAAUGAAUGUUCCAUUAUUAAAGGCACAUGGUCAGGAUGCUACUUUUCAAAACAUGAGAGUAAAAUCCCUCAAUCCACGAUCUGGGUGCAUUCAAGAAAGAUUGCUUCAGUAAACUGCUCUUGCAGAAGGUCAAGUGUUCCAAUGUGCGACACUCAUGUGAAAGCUGGCCCAGCUGGGUCUAAGCAGAGUAAUUUUUAGCCUCAAGAUUCAUAUUUUGAGAAGAUUUUGACCGAGGUGUAAAUACUUAAAAUUGAUUCCCAUGAAUCUGGAAUGCUUAGCCUUCGUCCAAGUUUGGAUUUCUUCAACAGGUUACUCAGCCACUGGAACUUUGUCCUGACACCACUCCUCAUGACAGCUGUGAAAGGAAGGUGCAUCUUUCUUCAUUCCCUGGUGACUGUUCUGUUAGCAUACAGAAUUAAGUAAACAACCAGGUCACCUGAUUGGAAAGCAGACUAAAAAGGACUUGAGACUUAAAGAUGAGGAACCAUCUUUAUUCAAGUAACACGCUAAGCCCGAUUUGCUCCACUCUCACCAGUACAGAAGGUAAAGCAAGACACAGGUUGUGGAGGUGAGGGGGUGGGUGGUAGACACCUUUACAAUAGAAACUAUAAUGGCCUCAAUUAGUGGUUCUCAAAGUAUGGUCUAGGGAUCUACUCUUUCAGGAGGUCUGUGAGGUCAAAACUACUUUCAUAUUAACAUGUUAGCCGCCUUUUUCAUGCCCAUUCCCCCAAAAGUGUAGUACAGAAUUUUUUAGAGGUCACACAACAUGCAAUGUUCACAAGAGGCUGAAUGCAGAAGCAGAUAGGAGACUAGCUGUCUUCUGUUAAGCCAAACAUGAAAGAAAUUUGCAAGAAUGUAAAACACUGCCACUCUUCUAAGAUAUUUUGUUAAUUUUUCAACUAAAAAUGUUAACGUGUAAUAAAACCACUACUUCUAAAUCGAGUAAUACAUUAUUUUUUUUAAUUUCUUAGUUUGAAUUUCUGACAUGGUAAAUAUUUUUAAGUAUAACCCACAUGAACAAAAUCUCUUUGGCAUCCUUAAUUUGUAAAUG